RNAcentral lists this ribosomal RNA (407 nucleotides) under Chloropicon mariensis. RNAcentral's name for it is "partial Bacterial small subunit ribosomal RNA". It matches the Rfam family "Bacterial small subunit ribosomal RNA", at positions 341 to 760 of the family's 1533-position model. Lineage: Eukaryota; Viridiplantae; Chlorophyta; Chloropicophyceae; Chloropicales; Chloropicaceae. The record is from RNAcentral.
ACGGGAGGCAGCAGUGGGGAAUAUUGCGCAAUGGGCGAAAGCCUGACGCAGCGACGCCGCGUGAGGGAUGACGGCCUUCGGGUUGUAAACCUCUUUCAGCAGGGACGAAGCGGAAGUGACGGUACCUGCAGAAGAAGCACCGGCCAACUACGUGCCAGCAGCCGCGGUAAUACGUAGGGUGCAAGCGUUGUCCGGAAUUAUUGGGCGUAAAGAGCUCGUAGGCGGUUUGUUGCGUCGGCUGUGAAAACCUGAGGCUCAACCUCAGGCCUGCAGUCGAUACGAGCAGACUAGAGUGUUGCAGGGGAGACUGGAAUUCCUGGUGUAGCGGUGAAAUGCGCAGAUAUCAGGAGGAACACCGGUGGCGAAGGCGGUUCUCUGGGCAUUACCUGACGCUGAGAAGCGAAAGC